Salvia hispanica is the source of this 1818-nucleotide RNA transcript. It is a transcript of the gene named putative late blight resistance protein homolog R1A-3, with no coding region annotated. NCBI's taxonomy places the organism in Eukaryota, Viridiplantae, Streptophyta, Magnoliopsida, Lamiales, Lamiaceae. The record is from RefSeq and is a predicted model, not a curated record.
AGAUCAACGUCGGUUGUGUGCCCAUUGCGUCUCUUUAUUUUCCUUCAAAGAAGUGUAUGAAAAGAUAAAAAAUGAUUGUGCAUCGAAUGUACGUUCUCUCCUUUGUGUUGGUCCUCGCCACAAAUAUGCGAUGCCAAUACAUGCAAUGGAUUUCAAGUUGCUCAAGGUAUUGGAUACUGGAAGUGUCCGAUUUUAUCAUUUUCCAGAAAUUUUCAAGCUAAUUUGUCUAAACUACCUUUCACUAACUUGCAAUAAAGAGAUCCCAGUAUCUAUAUUCGACCUUUUUCACCUUCAGUUCUUGAUUAUCUAUCAAUAUAUGAAUAUUAAAAAACGUGGAGUUUUGUCAUGUAUGCCAGUGGAAGUAUGGGGCAUGCAAGAACUACUACAUAUUGAGAUAUAGGGAAAAGAGCUACCUACCCCUGAUUCUUCUACUGCUGCAUUGGAUAGACUUGACACUCUUAAUGGUGUGAGUGAAAAGAGUUGCACAAGAGAAAAACUCAAGAGAAUCCCAAAUUUAAAGAGAUAAGGAAUUGUGGUAGAAUUGCAGCCUUAUGAUGAAGAUGAUGAUAGAAACCCAUAGAGUAACUUGGGUUAUAUAUCAGAGGAACUCCAAAGUUUGAACACACUUGCAUAUACUGUGAUGUAUCCAGAUAUUAAGCGUGAGUUUAUGGUUCCUCUAUCGAUGUUCCCAUCAAGUUUGACAACUUUGAAUUUGAGUGGCUUAGGGUGUCCAUGGGAGAACAUGAAUGUCAUAGGUUCGAUGCUACCAAAUCUCAUGUUCCUCACGUUAAAAGGCUAUGCCUUUCGAAGCGCCGAGUGGAAUAUAGAAGCACUUGAUACAGUUAUAAUUAAGGACACCGAUUUGGUGCGAUUGAUAGCUCAACAUGGAAGUCUACCAAGGCUCAAACUCCUAAGCAUACGCCAUUGCUACAAAUUACAACAAUUCAAUUGGUCGCGUGAUCCCUCAAUGGUCACCAUUGCAAUUGAGUUAGUUGAGUGCAACCCCUUAGCCGUCGUUUCUGCCAAGCAAUUAAAGCCUGAAUCUGUCUUUAAAAUUCGUUCUCACUCUUCUUUUUUAUACAAGAAGUCCUAGCUCAACUCUCAACUUGGUUAAGAGGUUAGUCUUCAUACUCCCUUUAAUUUGCACAAAACCACAUGAAUUCACUUCUUUCUUAACUAAAAUGCUUGUGCUUGUAAUUGUUUUUAUGUUAUAUUGUAUUGCAGAUAUGUGUUUAGGUUGUUGGCUGCUUUUUCUUCUACGAAUGGGAGUUUGAUCUCUAUAAUGGGGGAGGUUUAAAUCACGUAGCAUGUUUUGAAAAUAUAUAUCGCUCACAUGUUAUAUUAAUUAACUCUAAUUUAUCAGGAAGUGAGAGGGCAAAAGGGGUCAGAUAGCAAGGCAUAUUUGGUGACUUUGGAUAGGCACGAGUGGGAGCGCAUGGAGUUGUGAAGAUUAGCCAAUCUGUGGUAUUUCCAGUUGUGACUAAGAGAAAGUUACUUAUCUUAGAACGUGCUACCUGCUCACAUGUGCCGUGCGUGUGGUUACUGUUCUGCGGUUGAGAGGAAGUAUUUAAUAAGAAAAUGUAUCACAAACAAAGAUAUCUGAAUUUUUAGUUUUAGUUAAACUUAAAACUCCGUAGCUUAGUUUAACAACUCUUGUAUUUCCAUUUCUAGUUAACUGCUACUUUUGCUUUUAUGGUAAUUAUGAUGAUCUGUUGAUUCUGUAUGGUGUGUGCAUUUAUGUGUAUGCAAAUGAUUUGUUGUUAGUGAACAAAGAAUUCUGUAGCAUUUACUCUUCUUAGUUCAAGUAUGGUUCAUUAA